CCAUUUUGAUCUUAAAAUAGUAACAACCGGAAGCACUGGGUAGCCAUUACUGCAUGCGAUUUGUGGAAGGAUAUUGGAUCCUAUAGUUAAAUCGUGAAGUUUACAAAUUACAGACAUAGCAGUGACACAGUGAGAAAUUUACAGAGUGACAAAGUGACUGAAAUUUCCAUAGAAGGUUGUGUACUGGGAUGAUAUAGAUUGGAAGAAUGACAGUGAGUUUCAGUUAACUGAGAGAGAUCAGAGCUGAAGAUUAUUUACUAUUUGAGAAAAAGACUAUAGAAGGUAUGAAGUAAGAGUUAUCUUUCAUUAUAAGACUUACUCCUUCAAUAAUGAGAUUGAGUUACUGCCCUUUGGAGCCAACUUCCACUUUAGGUAGAGGUUAUUAGAAGUAAUUUCAAUAACAAUGGGAAGGAUAACCAAUGAAAUUCUUUCUAUUUAUAACUAAGUUCUGCACUUUA
Saccostrea cuccullata (small rock oyster) is the source of this 458-nucleotide long non-coding RNA. RefSeq lists it as uncharacterized. The record is from RefSeq and is a predicted model, not a curated record. Lineage: Eukaryota; Metazoa; Mollusca; Bivalvia; Ostreida; Ostreidae. The transcript has 3 exons.